Eptesicus fuscus (big brown bat) is the source of this 102-nucleotide small nuclear RNA. Lineage: Eukaryota; Metazoa; Chordata; Mammalia; Chiroptera; Vespertilionidae. The record is from RefSeq and is a predicted model, not a curated record.
GUGUACCUUCCUAGCACAUAUACUAAAAUUGGAACAACACUGAGGUUAGCAUGGCCACUGCUCAAGCCUGACACACAAAUUAGUGAAGUGUUCCAUGAUUUU